UAGGUUUUAGUCCUGCACCCAGCUGGAUGUAAAGGCUGUGUAAUUAUGGCAUUGAUCACUGAGGCCAAGGGACCAUGGUGACCGUCACAUCAGCUCAGAAGGCAGCUCCAACAGUGUUCCCAGUUGCUUCAUGCUCUGAACCAAGCCCAGACGGAUUCAUUUCAUUGGGCAUUUUAGCAACCGAGUUCUUACCAAGCGAUAUAAGUUUUACUUGGAGAUCCCAGCCAUCCAUCGACACCUCACACUUUCUGCCGAAGACUUAUCCAUCAGUAAUAAGCAGCAAGGGAACUUACACAGGCAGCAGUCAACUUCUGUUACCCCUCACAGACUGUCAGAAACCAAUUAAAAUUUUCUGUGAAGUUAAACACUCAAUAGGCACAAAGGAAUACUCUGUCUUCUGUCCAGAGUUUACAGCGAUACUUCCAAAGGUGUCCAUCUUUCCACCAGCAACAGAGGAGUUUACGUCUACUAACCUUGUCUGCUUGGUUGAGGGUUUCAGACCAAAAAAUGCAAAGGUUACGUGGUCCAAAAACAGGCAGCCUGUGAAUAUGGGGGUAUUAACUUUUGCAACAGUUUUAGAUGAAAACAAGAAUUUCACUACAACCAGUAGUCUGAGAAUAACACGUGAAGACUGGAACAACAACGCUGUAUUUAUGUGUCAAGCCUCACAUCCGAGGUGGGAUGAAACAGUGACAAAAAACAUUAGCAGAGCAAUUGUCCAAAGGUGCACUCGUGAAGAUGUGAAGGUCUACGGAAUUGCUCCAUCCAUUGAAGAUAUUUUGUUGGCCAAAUCUCCACAUGUUUCAUGUUUAGUGUCUGGAUUAUUGUCCCCAGAAAACUGUAAUAUUUCUUGGGUUAGAAGCACUGAUCCAAAAAUUUUCCAAUUUCCAUUUGAAGAAAUAAUAAAUGAAAACGGCACAUACAGUAUCAUUAGCAAAAUGCCCAUAUGUCCAGCGGAAUGGAACUCUGAUGAAGAAUUUACAUGUAUUGUGGAACACGAAUCACUGCCCACUCCUGAACGGGUCACUAUCCAGAAGUACAGUGGGGGAAUACUGAAAAAACCUAAGAUUGUUCUUCUUCCACCCACAUCAGAAGAUCUCUCUAAUGGUCAAACUGCAUCUCUGACCUGCCUGGUGAAAGAUUUUUUUCCCGGAGACCUCUUCCUCAAGUGGCACCACAAUGGGGCACCAGUCCCAGAUUAUGAGUACAGCCACACCAAUAAGUUACGAGAUGCAGGAAAUGAGUCCUUCUCCAUGUACAGCAAGCUCGAUAUUCGUGUCGAAGACUGGAACCAUGGUCAUUCCUUCUCCUGCAUCGUUGGCCACGAAUCUCUAGACUUGAAUGUCUCAAGCAAAACCAUUGAUAAAUCAUCGGGUAAACCAAGCUCUGUCAAUGUUACAGUUAUUAUGCCAGACACAGCUGGUACUUGUUAUUAGCAGAUUUGUGCUAAUUCAUUGGCUGUUUGCUUCUACUGUGCUACUGUUAAGUAAGAUUCCAGCACGUGUGCUUCAUUUUGUUAAUGACUGAUUACUUGUGAAAAUUCAAAAUGACAUAAGAUAUCUUAAAAUGCUGUACAGAUUAUAUUGAAAUAAAUACCCUUUCAACAUG
This is a non-coding RNA of Protopterus annectens (West African lungfish), 1608 nucleotides long. The record is from the annotation of a RefSeq genome assembly. Lineage: Eukaryota; Metazoa; Chordata; Ceratodontiformes; Protopteridae.